UGACACCUGCGGUGUACGGAAAUCGGAGAAUUCGUAAUCCACAAUAUUCAUUCGGGAGCGUAUGUCGGUCGCGAUAGGCGAGGUCUGAACAUUGUUCGGAAAGUCCGAGGCGUGAUCGCUGCGCACCCACCUGCGAAAAGCGGGUUAACACUUUUUCGCUUUGCGGCACAGGCGGAUGUCUU
Molecule: non-coding RNA, 182 nt
Filed under: Clostridiales bacterium
Lineage: Bacteria; Bacillati; Bacillota; Clostridia; Eubacteriales
Description: 6S RNA
Rfam family: 6S / SsrS RNA
About the family: E. coli 6S RNA was the first non coding RNA to be sequenced, but its function was unknown until recently.
Source: RNAcentral